Molecule: ribosomal RNA, 44 nt
Filed under: Asparagus officinalis (garden asparagus)
Lineage: Eukaryota; Viridiplantae; Streptophyta; Magnoliopsida; Asparagales; Asparagaceae
Description: partial small subunit ribosomal RNA
Source: RNAcentral
GGCACGACAUUGUCUGAGAUCGAGCGAGACGACUGCGAUCUAGA